RNAcentral lists this ribosomal RNA (394 nucleotides) under uncultured bacterium. Its description in RNAcentral is "partial 16S ribosomal RNA". It matches the Rfam family "Bacterial small subunit ribosomal RNA", at positions 523 to 918 of the family's 1533-position model. The record is from RNAcentral.
AUACGUAGGGUGCAGCGCUAAUCGGAAUUACUGGGCGUAAAGCGUGCGCAGGCGGUUUUGUAAGACAGAGGUGAAAUCCCCGGGCUCAACCUGGGAACUGCCUUUGUGACUGCAAGGCUAGAGUACGGCAGAGGGGGAUGGAAUUCCGCGUGUAGCCGUGAAAUGCGUAGAUAUGCGGAGGAACACCGAUGGCGAAGGCAAUCCCCUGGGCCUGUGCUGACGCUCAUGCACGAAAGCGUGGGGAGUAAACAGGAUUAGAUACCCUGGUAGUCCACGCCCUAAACGAUGUCAACUGGUUGUUGGGUCUUCAUUGACUCAGUAACGAAGCUAACGCGUGAAGUUGACCGCCUGGGGAGUACGGCCGCAAGGUUGAAACUCAAAUGAAUUGACGGGG